This is a non-coding RNA of Rhizobium yanglingense, 68 nucleotides long. The record is from Rfam. NCBI's taxonomy places the organism in Bacteria, Pseudomonadati, Pseudomonadota, Alphaproteobacteria, Hyphomicrobiales, Rhizobiaceae.
AGUCAAGGUCUCCGGCACCUAUUUUCGGUGAGCUGAUAUCUUUUGCCUUGAAGAAGGCGAAGAAAAUG